RNAcentral lists this ribosomal RNA (371 nucleotides) under uncultured organism. RNAcentral describes it as "bacterial SSU rRNA". It matches the Rfam family "Bacterial small subunit ribosomal RNA", at positions 526 to 896 of the family's 1533-position model. The record is from RNAcentral.
CGAAGGGAGCUAGCGUUGUUCGGAAUUACUGGGCGUAAAGGGCGCGUAGGCGGCUUAGCAAGUUGGAUGUGAAAGCCCAGGGCUCAACCCUGGAAUUGCAUUCAAGACUGCCUUGCUUGAAUUCGGUAGAGGUUGGUGGAAUUCCCAGUGUAGAGGUGAAAUUCGUAGAGAUUGGGAAGAACACCCGUGGCGAAGGCGGCCAACUGGACCGACAUUGACGCUGAGGCGCGAAAGCGUGGGGAUCAAACAGGAUUAGAUACCCUGGUAGUCCACGCUGUAAACGAUGCAUGCUAGACGUUGGAAGGCUUAGCCUUCUUGUGUCGCAGCUAACGCACUAAGCAUGCCGCCUGGGGAGUACGGCCGCAAGGUUG